This 74-nucleotide transfer RNA is filed under the name Flavobacteriaceae bacterium. RNAcentral describes it as "tRNA-Asn". It matches the Rfam family "tRNA". Rfam says of the family: Transfer RNA (tRNA) molecules are approximately 80 nucleotides in length. Their secondary structure includes four short double-helical elements and three loops (D, anti-codon, and T loops). The record is from RNAcentral. RNAcentral also lists the same sequence under 5 other names. Lineage: Bacteria; Pseudomonadati; Bacteroidota; Flavobacteriia; Flavobacteriales; Flavobacteriaceae.
UCCUCCUUAGCUCAGUUGGUUAGAGCACCUGACUGUUAAUCAGGGUGUCCUUGGUUCGAGUCCAAGAGGAGGAG